CUCUCCUAAGAUUUUUAGAAUUUUGAGAAGAAUGAUGAUGAAUUUAAAUGAUUCUCGUAAUGAAUUUUUGAUCUGUGAUCGUCGGACGAUACACCGACAUCCACUUUGAUCAGAUCAGGUAUUUUUAGAUUUUAUUUCUCAUGAUCUUAUUUAAUUAUCCACAUGAUAAUUUUAGCAUGAUUUGAUCUGAUCGAUCAGAAUUUGUUGAAUUAUAUUGUCUGAAGAAUUCAAGAUGAGUUUUCUCUCUCUAGAAUUUUCUCUCUAUAGAAUUUUCUCUCUCUUGAUUGAUUCUCUCUCUAAAAAAAGGUUAGUGAAUGAAAAAAUUUCUUUUAAUAAGUCUGAUCUGAUUCUAAUGAAGAAUCCUGAUCCAUGAUUGUCAGACAGCGUACUGGCACCCACCUUGAUUAGACCAUGAAUCUUUAGAUUUGAUCAUCCAUGAUCCCGAUCUAGUCAUGACUUGAUUUGAUUAUGUUGAUUUCACCAAUCAAGAUAUUGGAUCAAUCGUAAUGUUGGAUUGUGUCACCUGAUCAAUUCGAAUUAUACCUCAUGAAUUCUCUCUCCUCUGAUUGUCUCUCUCUACUUGAUUUUAUGAAAUCGAUGA
RNAcentral lists this long non-coding RNA (601 nucleotides) under Elaeis guineensis (African oil palm). RNAcentral describes it as "long non-coding RNA (EGUI_LNC001859)". The record is from RNAcentral. Lineage: Eukaryota; Viridiplantae; Streptophyta; Magnoliopsida; Arecales; Arecaceae.